RNAcentral lists this ribosomal RNA (315 nucleotides) under uncultured eukaryote. RNAcentral's name for it is "partial 18S ribosomal RNA". It matches the Rfam family "Eukaryotic small subunit ribosomal RNA", at positions 1470 to 1796 of the family's 1831-position model. The record is from RNAcentral.
CCCUUAGAUGUUCUGGGCUGCACGCGCGCUACACUGAUGCGCUCAACGAGUUUUAACCUUGCCUGGAAAGGUUGGGUAAUCUUUUUAAAACGCAUCGUGAUGGGGAUAGAUUAUUGCAAUUAUUAAUCUUCAACGAGGAAUUCCUAGUAAGCGCGAGUCAUCAGCUCGUGCUGAUUACGUCCCUGCCCUUUGUACACACCGCCCGUCGCACCUACCGAUUGAAUGGUCCGGUGAAGUCUUCGGACUGGCAGCAUGUAUGUGCUUGCCGGGAAGUUGAGUAAACCUUACCAUUUAGAGGAAGGUGAAGUCGUAACA